GAUGAACGCUAGCUACAGGCUUAACACAUGCAAGUCGAGGGGAAACGACAUCGAAAGCUUGCUUUUGAUGGGUGUCGACCGGCGCACGGGUGAGUAACGCGUAUCCAACCUGCCCACCACUUGGGGAUAACCUUGCGAAAGUAAGACUAAUACCCAAUGAUAUCCCACGAAGGCAUCCGAAUGGGAUUAAAGAUUUAUCGGUGAUGGAUGGGGAUGCGUCUGAUUAGCUUGUUGGCGGGGUAACGGCCCACCAAGGCGACGAUCAGUAGGGGUUCUGAGAGGAAGGUCCCCCACAUUGGAACUGAGACACGGUCCAAACUCCUACGGGAGGCAGCAGUGAGGAAUAUUGGUCAAUGGGCGAGAGCCUGAACCAGCCAAGUAGCGUGCAGGAAGACGGCCCUAUGGGUUGUAAACUGCUUUUAUAGGGGAAUAAAGUGAGCCACGUGUGGUUUUUUGCAUGUACCCUAUGAAUAAGGACCGGCUAAUUCCGUG
This 492-nucleotide ribosomal RNA is filed under the name uncultured bacterium. Its description in RNAcentral is "bacterial SSU rRNA". It matches the Rfam family "Bacterial small subunit ribosomal RNA", at positions 28 to 507 of the family's 1533-position model. The record is from RNAcentral.